This 245-nucleotide ribosomal RNA is filed under the name uncultured bacterium. Its description in RNAcentral is "partial 16S ribosomal RNA". It matches the Rfam family "Bacterial small subunit ribosomal RNA", at positions 524 to 768 of the family's 1533-position model. The record is from RNAcentral.
GACGAACCGUGCGAACGUUGUUCGGAAUCACUGGGCUUAAAGGGCGCGUAGGCGGCCGCACGAGUCCGGGGUGAAAGCCCCCAGCUCAACUGGGGAAGGGCCUCGGAUACCGGGCGGCUCGAGGGGGGUAGGGGCGGACGGAACUUCCGGUGGAGCGGUGAAAUGCGUUGAUAUCGGAAGGAACGCCGGUGGCGAAAGCGGUCCGCUGGGCCCUUACUGACGCUGAGGCGCGAAAGCCAGGGGAG